AUGAACGGGGAUGCAGGUGUCAACUUGCCCAUGCAUCGUCAUAACCACCCACGGUCUACUACCAGGUCGCACGAUCGGGCAGCAACUGAACCAACCAACCAACCAACCGCUUGCCUCUUCCACCCCACGACUCUUCUCCUUCUCCAUCUUUACUCACUCCGUCGUCGACUCUUUCGUCGCCGUCGCCUCCGCCUCAUAUAUUACCCGCUGCGUGCCGUCUGCCCUCACAUUCACACACACUCGCCCGCGGACAAGCCAACUCUUGCGCUCCCCCCUCCCACAGCAGGCCAGCACUGCGGCAGCGCCAAGAGCCAGCGUCCGUCCAUGGCGCCUCUGCUCCUGCUCUUCCUCCUCGGCGGCCUCUGCGCCCUCUUCUCCCUCGCCUCCUCCUCCUCGCGCGGCGCCAAGAAGUGCUGCGACGCCGACGGCGAGAAGGCCAAGAGCCACAACCGCGGGGAGCAGGGAGAGAAGGCCAGCGGCAAGGUGGAGGAGAGGGCGGCGCCGGCGGACCGGGAGGCGGACCUGGGGAUCGUGUUCUCCACGUUCGACCACGACGGCGACGGCUUCAUCACGGCGGGCGAGCUGGAGGAGUCGCUGAAGCGGCUGGGCAUCGCGGUCUCCGCCGCCGAGGCCGCCGCCAUGGUGGCGCGCGUCGACGCCAACAGCGACGGCCUCAUCGACAUCCACGAGUUCCGCGAGCUCUACGACUCCAUCCCCAAGAAGCGCAAGGCCUCGCUCCUGCCCCCCUCCGCCGGCGCCGAGGCCGGGGCUGAGGAGGAGGAGGAGGACGAGGAGGGGGAGGAGAUGGACCUCAAGGAGGCGUUCGACGUGUUCGACGGCAACAAGGACGGCCUCAUCUCCGCCGAGGAGCUGGGCACCGUGCUGGGCUCCCUCGGCCUGCGCGGCCGCCCCGCCGCCGCCGAGUGCCGCGACAUGAUACGCCUCGUCGACAGCGACGGCGACGGCAUGGUCAACUUCGAGGAGUUCAAGCGCAUGAUGGCCGUCGUCAAGGCCUAG
This 1017-nucleotide ribosomal RNA is filed under the name Triticum aestivum (bread wheat). Its description in RNAcentral is "partial small subunit ribosomal RNA". The record is from RNAcentral. Lineage: Eukaryota; Viridiplantae; Streptophyta; Magnoliopsida; Poales; Poaceae.